Molecule: ribosomal RNA, 405 nt
Filed under: uncultured bacterium
Lineage: Bacteria
Description: partial 16S ribosomal RNA
Rfam family: Bacterial small subunit ribosomal RNA
Source: RNAcentral
AUUGAACGCUGGCGGCAGGCCUAACACAUGCAAGUCGAGCGAGCGGCGGACGGGUGAGUAAUGUAUGGGGAUCUGCCCGAUAGAGGGGGAUAACUACUGGAAACGGUAGCUAAUCCCGCAUACUAUCGGAUGUGCCCAGAUGGGAUUAGCUAGUGGGUGGGGAAAAGGCUCACCUAGGCGACGAUCCCUAGCGGGUCUGAGAGGAUGACCAGCAACACGGGAACUGGGCCACGGUCCAGACUCGUAGGGGAGGCAGCAGUGGGGAGUAUGGCAAAAGGGGCGCAAGCCUGAUGCAGCCAUGCCGGGUGUAUGAAGAAGGCCUUCGGGUUGUAAAGUACUUUCAGCGGGGAGGCGUUACCCGCAGAAGAAGCACCGGCUAACUCCGGGCCAGCAGCCGCGGUAUAC